Molecule: transfer RNA, 73 nt
Filed under: Acropora cervicornis
Lineage: Eukaryota; Metazoa; Cnidaria; Anthozoa; Scleractinia; Acroporidae
Description: tRNA-Thr
Rfam family: tRNA
About the family: Transfer RNA (tRNA) molecules are approximately 80 nucleotides in length. Their secondary structure includes four short double-helical elements and three loops (D, anti-codon, and T loops). Further hydrogen bonds mediate the characteristic L-shaped molecular structure. tRNAs have two regions of fundamental functional importance: the anti-codon, which is responsible for specific mRNA codon recognition, and the 3' end, to which the tRNAs corresponding amino acid is attached (by aminoacyl-tRNA synthetases). tRNAs cope with the degeneracy of the genetic code in two manners: having more than one tRNA (with a specific anti-codon) for a particular amino acid; and 'wobble' base-pairing, i.e. permitting non-standard base-pairing at the 3rd anti-codon position.
Source: RNAcentral
GGCUUCAUAGCUCAGUUAAUCAGAGCGUCACACCGGUAUUGUGAAGUCACGGGUUCAAACCCUAUAGAAGUCC